Long non-coding RNA from Ictalurus punctatus (channel catfish), 566 nucleotides. The record is from Ensembl. NCBI's taxonomy places the organism in Eukaryota, Metazoa, Chordata, Actinopteri, Siluriformes, Ictaluridae.
GUAAUAUAUAGUGUGCAGUAUGUAAUAUAUAGUGUGUAAUAUAUAGUGUGUAAUAUAUAGUGUGCAGUGUGUAAUAUAUAGUGUGCAGUGUGUAAUAUAUAGUGUGCAGUGUGUAAUAUAUAGUGUGUAAUAUAUAGUGUGCAGUGUGUAGUAUAUAGUGUGCAGUGUGUAAUAUAUAGUGUGCAGUGUGUAGUAUAUAGUGUGCAGUGUGUAGUAUAUAGUGUGCAGUGUGUAGUAUAUAGUGUGCAGUGUGUAGUAUAUAGUGUGUAAUAUAUAGUGUGCAGUGUGUAAUAUAUAGUGUGCAGUGUGUAAUAUAUAGUGUGCAGUGUGUAAUAUAUAGUGUGUAAUAUAUAGUGUUGCAUAUGUAAUAUAUAGUGUGUAAUAUAUAGUGUGCAGUGUGUAAUAUAUAGUGUGUAAUAUAGUGUGCAGUGUGUAAUAUAUAGUGUUAAUAUAUAGUGUGCAGUGUGUAAUAUAUAGUGUGCAGUAUGUAAUAUAUAGUGUGUAAUAUAUAGUGUGUAAUAUAUAGUGUGCAGUGUGUAAUAUAUAGUGUGCAGUGUGUAAUAUAU